This 148-nucleotide small RNA is filed under the name Macaca fascicularis (crab-eating macaque). Its description in RNAcentral is "Metazoan signal recognition particle RNA (ENSMFAG00000055099.1)". The record is from Rfam by way of RNAcentral. RNAcentral also lists the same sequence under 1 other name. Lineage: Eukaryota; Metazoa; Chordata; Mammalia; Primates; Cercopithecidae.
GCUGGGUGUGGGGGCGCACACCUGUAAUCCCAGCUACUUGGGAGGCUGGGGCAGGUGAAUGGCUCGAACCUGGGAGGUGGAGGUUGCAGUGAGCCGAGAUUGCACCACUGCACUCCAGCCUGGGUGAAAGAGCAAGACUCUGUCUCUA